Molecule: long non-coding RNA, 1876 nt
Organism: Papaver somniferum (opium poppy)
Lineage: Eukaryota; Viridiplantae; Streptophyta; Magnoliopsida; Ranunculales; Papaveraceae
Exons: 3
Source: RefSeq, a predicted model, not a curated record
UCUUCUUUAUUUCUGCUUCUGUUUUCUUCUUCUUCUUCUUCUUCUUAUGUUCUUCUUCUCUGCGUGUUUGAGAGAAAUCGAAUGGGAGUUCUGUGAUUGGCAUAAGGUGGGGAAGAUUAUUAAGUAGAAGAUGGUGAUGAUGUUGUGGUUUUUUGAGAACGGGAUGAAGAGAGUAGAGUUGUUGCUGUAAAUUGAAGAGGUGAUUUAUGAAGUUAGGGUUUAUGUGGAAUUGAUAUGUGAAUCCUGUUUCUGAUUGAUGAAUAAGAAGAGGGUUGUUGUUUAAUUACCGUUAUUGAGUUGUUCAGAUGGUCGAAUCAGAAAUUAGGGUUUCUUAGAGAAUUAAUUCAAAGUGGUUUUAGUGAUGUACAAGAUGAUUUGAGGACUGGGUUUAGAUGAUUGAGGAACGUGUUGAAGUAAAUUGGUUGAUAAGAGUUGUUCGUGAAGAAUUGGUGAAAUUAGAGUUUAUGUUCUGUUCUUCCCCAAAUUAUAACUAGGGUUUGUAGAUUGAAUUGUAUAUUCGUGGAAUUGAUAAGUAAACUGAGUUUUUGGUGGGUGAAGAGUGACUGGGUUGUGAUUGUGGUUUAAUUGAAAAUGUAAAGUGGUUUUAUCGGAGGAUCAGUAAGUUAAGGUUCUAAAGAGGAUUGAGAAUAAAUGGUAGAGAUGAAGGCUAGGGUUUAAUUCUGUUGGCAAGAAGGUGUUGGAGCUAUUAUUGGUUUUGGAUGAACUAAAGCUGGUGAUGAAGACUGUUGGAUUUGGUUAAAUUAGGAUAUCUGUGGAUGUGGUUGGUGAAACAACAAUUCAGAAGGUACCAGUGUUUGGGCAAGCCUCUAAAUAAUCUUGUUGUUAGUAUUUUGAUUUGAACUGUUUUAGUUAUUGAGUUCAUGAGUUGUAUUGAACAAGAAUUGGGAUUUGAUGAAUUUAAUUGAGCUGAUAGAGGUUCUGGUAGUGUGUGAUUGGAUUGGAUGAAUGUUAAGAGAUUACAAAUGUGGAUUUUUGUUGGUGGUAUUGAACUGGUGGUGCAGAAUUGGUUAAAAUGAGUAUGAUUGUUGUGUCUGAAGUGAUAUAAAUUGCUGCUGAUGCAGUAUAGAGUUACAGGUGAAAGAGUAAUGGUGAAUAGUGAUGAUGGUAAUGUUUAUGUAAUGAAUUGACUGAGGUUUUUAACAAUUCUGGAUUGAAAGUAAGGUUGUAGUUGGGCUGUGGUGAAUGUCAGAGAAUAAGAGUUAAACUGAAUUGAUUUAGAUUGUGUUGUUGUUGAAGUUCUUUAGAGUUUGGUUUAAUUGUCAUGGAAUGGACAUGAGAUUUUGGAGAAAUGGUGGUAAUGAAGUUGGCGGUGAGUGAUUGUGCUAGUGAAGAUAGUUACUGCUAUGGAGUGUGCAUUUGGCUAAUGAACUGAAAUCAGAUGAAGUUAUAGAAGUGGAUGUGCAGUGUUAUUUAUUAUUGCAGUUGAAUUUCAGGCUAGCUGUUGGUAGUGUUAUUGUUGUUGGAACUUAAGUGUACUUGUGAGAUGUUGAACUGAAGUUGAUUGUAAUGUUGUUGUGGCAGUGACCUUAGUGAAAGCCUGCAAAUGCAGUUCUAGUUAGUCUGUAUUAACAACGAUCGAUUCAAAGGACGAACCAGUGGAUCGUGGAUCUCGAGGUAGGCGUGGCUUGUCAUCAAAAGAGUUUCAGAGACAGAUCAGAGUUGCGCGGCGAAAGUUUCGAGGAGUUGAUUUCAUUAGUUGGUUAACUUCGACUAUGUUUAUGAUGUUGCAUAUUAUAUUUGUUAACCAAAUGACUAUUGUAUAUGUAUCAUUUGAGAGGAGUUCUUGUAUAUAUAUUUCUGAGCGGGGUUAGUUUUGGGUUAAGUUUUGUAGCAGAUUUAUAAUUGAAUGCUUAAG